Long non-coding RNA from Lolium rigidum, 336 nucleotides. RefSeq lists it as uncharacterized. NCBI's taxonomy places the organism in Eukaryota, Viridiplantae, Streptophyta, Magnoliopsida, Poales, Poaceae. The transcript has 3 exons. The record is from RefSeq and is a predicted model, not a curated record.
AGGGGACCUCGCCGGGCUCCAGACGCAGCUCCGCGACCUGGAGGCUGACCUAGCGCAAACCCUGUCGCUUAAAAUCGCCAAGGAGAGGAAAUGCGAGCGCAUUAGGGAGUCAAUCUCGGCCUCGACGGCCUCAAGCGAGCAGCUCAGGAACAUGGUCGCCGACCAGAGGAACAGGGGAGUCCAGCAUGCCACGGUCGUAUCGCGUGCGCUCCAAGCUGUCGAGGCUCUCGAAACGAAGAUCAGUGAAGAUGGACAGUGGAGGGAAGAUAUAGACAAAGCUGUUUCAUGGUACCAACAGUUUGCCGGCUUCCAAGUCGUUGAGGAAGUAGAAGGUAA